This is a non-coding RNA of Podarcis lilfordi (Lilford's wall lizard), 81 nucleotides long. The record is from the annotation of a GenBank genome assembly. NCBI's taxonomy places the organism in Eukaryota, Metazoa, Chordata, Lepidosauria, Squamata, Lacertidae.
GCAAUAUAUAGCUCAGUUGGUUAGAGCACGGUACUGAUGAUUCCGAAGUUGCAGGUUUGAUUCCCAAAAGGGACAGCUGCA